GCGGGUGUAGUGUCAUUGGCUAGCACGGCGAGUUGACCCCUCAUCAGAGUUCGGUUCGAUUCCGGCCACCCGCU
Molecule: transfer RNA, 74 nt
Filed under: Chloroflexota bacterium
Lineage: Bacteria; Bacillati; Chloroflexota
Description: Chloroflexi bacterium tRNA-Val
Source: RNAcentral